This 822-nucleotide long non-coding RNA is filed under the name Homo sapiens (human). Its description in RNAcentral is "non-protein coding lnc-ANO7-1:1". The record is from RNAcentral. Lineage: Eukaryota; Metazoa; Chordata; Mammalia; Primates; Hominidae.
CCCAGGAAAACUGGAAAGAAGUGUGGUUCAGAAUUUUACCAGUAGAAGUGCUACACUGUGAUCUUGGUUAAACACCAGAUUAUUCUUGGGCCUCUGAAACAAAACAGAAAAAAAAAAAUUGUUGUAUUAAAGGUAAUUACGUUAUUGUAAUCUUCAUCAUGAUCAAAUGGUUCUGACAGCCAGAGCCCACCACCGGCUCUGCCCCUCGUGCUGAGCCUUGGUGCUUGGACCUCACGAGGCUCAAAUCCUGCGUGUGUUCCAGGCCACUUUCAUUUUGCCAGUUUCUGGGCUUGCAUACCAGAUGACCAUGAGCAUCUCAGAAUGGUGCAGAGUGCGGGGGAGAGCUGCCGUCCGUGCUAGAGAGGCCUGUUCCAGCCCCACCGCCAGGCGGUGUGUCGUUGGAUUACCCACAGUCGCGUCUUCUGCAACAUUUUCCUGCAGUCCUUUUUGCUCUGAACCCGCCCCACUGAGCUCCCUCGCACACUGUUGAGCCUGAUACUCUGUGAGCAGACCUGACCAGGGCACCGAGAUGGGGUGGUUUGAAGGCACCUCCUAGGCAGCAUGCCACGUAUAGCCUGCUGGAGAGUGGCGUCAGACUUGACACACGCAGCUGGUGCCAGCUGGGGUGCUGGGCGCCAAGGCAGCAAGGGUGGUACAGCCAGAGGAGCUCCCAGGCCACAGCCAUAGCGCUUUCGAAUUGGGAAAGCUACUGGCUGGGUACAUUUCAGGGGAGAUGGGGGGAGGAGUAUUUGCUUUUGAGAAAUUUUUUAACUUUCCCUUAAAACUUAGAAGGCUUUGGAAUUGGAAUACCAAAAAUGCAGU